CUAAAUCUCAUCCCUAAAAUUGUCAAUUUCUGGUCCCUAAUACAGUGAAUGGGGUGGGACUGAAAUGCCACCCAUUUUUUCCUCCAAAAAUAUAAUAUCAUAUAUAAUUAAUAAUUAUAAAGAAAUAUAAAAAUAAGCAAAAACAACGUUCGUCCAUUCAUCAUUUUAGUGACUAGGGUUUACUCCCCAUAUCUCAGUCUCACAAAAUCCCUAAUUCCACAUCAUUUUGACAACCUGUUCUAGUGUUCAUUGAAAUUUGUGCUUGAUUUCUUCAUUCAAAUUGACAAUUUGUGUCUUCAACUGUUCCUCACGACCUUUUAGGGGUUUACGACUAUUCGGUUUUGGUGUGUUGUUUUUUUGGGUAUGUUUUGUAUUUUUGUUCUGUGACAUGUCAUACUGUGCGAUUGAGUUGGGGUUAUCAUCGGAGGUAGAGUCAGCUCGCCAGGAUGUCAUUAUCAGCGGGAGAAAAGAUUCUCUGUGGCCAUUGUUGGUCGUAUCCUCCGUGCUUCCUCGUAUUUCCAGGCUGCCAGGUUGUUUCUCUAAUUUUUCUUGCUGAUUAAUUGGUUCUUCAGGGCUAUGAUUUUGUGUAUGCUUGUGUUUUUUGUCACUCCUUGAUUUUGGUCUUUCACUACAGCAUUACAGGUAUCUCUUUAUUCUUUUCUUGAAUGUGGAUUUUCAUCUUACAUUUGUGACUUUGUCUUGUCAUCUGAUUUUACAAUUUUUUAUCCCCAAUAUUGAACUUUUAUAAACAAUUUCUGUUUCUUGUAUGUUUGGGGCUUUGGGCUUAGAUUCUUGCCAAUGUCUAAGGACAUCUGUUUUCCCCUAAGUUCGUCGGACUCUUUAUUUUUUGUGCUGCACCCCUGUAGACACGACAUGGUGUGUGUGUGGGAUCCGUACCGGAUAUAAUCAACUGAUUUUGGAUACUUUGACCAAAAUCGAGGGAGAAAUUUGGGACAAAUACAAUGAUUUCUGUAAUAAAAACAAAAGCUAAGAUGAAAUUGAAGAAAAUGGAAUAGCUUGUAUAUAGAAAUUUAUAUGUCAGUUCUUUUCCUUACUCCUUUUGGGAUUCUCCUCUUGAUUAAUAUUUUCUCAUCCGAAUACCUUAUAAGUUUCCACAUAAUGUCUCAUAAUUAAGACAUAUAACUAUAUUUUUAUAUAGUUGAUUUAUUUUUAGCCGAAUCCCCGCACCCGUAUCGAUACCUAGAUCCAUACCCCCGAAUCUUAAAUUUCAGAUCAUGAAGGAUCCAACUUCUAGAUCCGUACCUGUAUCAGACACCUGCACCCGAGACCAAGCAACGUAGGUUUUCCCAAAUGGUUUAAUUUUUUUUUUUUUUUUGCCUGUUACAAACUAUCUUGUGUUGUUUGUUUCAGAAGUUUUUUCUAUGUGAUGGUCAUGUUAAAAUUUGAGGUACAUUCUCCUAAAAAUCAUGUUCAUAGGAUAGCAUACUCUUAAGAAAAGGGACAACAUACUCUACUACUUGGAUUUCAUGCUAGCAAUUUAGUGUGUGUCCAUGUUUGGCAACAUUCUUCUUGUGUAUCUAUGCGCCAAGAAUAUGUUCUGCUAGUGGUUCAUUAUCAUCCAUCUGAAAAACAUGCUUUUAGUUCAUAUUGGGUCUAUAAAUCAAAGUUCAUGACUGAUUUUGUUUGGAAAAAAAAACAUGUUGUAAGACAUAUAUAUAUAUAUAUAUAUAUAUAUAUAUAUAUAUAACAUUUAGAAGGCACAAUAAAUGAUUUGUUUAUCUAGAAAGAAUGCUUUGAGACUUGCUGCACUUGAAACCUUAUUUCUUUUUUAAACUUCCAGCAUUUAGAAAUUAUAUCCCAGGAUUCACUUCUUUAAAAGUCAUACUUGGAAAAACAUUAGUGGCUGCAUCUUUAGUUGAGCCAGAGUAUGCCUUGUCCCUGCUCUAUGACUUUUCUCGGUUAAUAAAUAUUCGGUAAACAUUUGUGACUGCUGGUUUCUGCAUUCUAUUUAAGGUUAAAUGUUAGAAUACUUAAGGAAACAAAGUGAGGAUGCAUUUUGUUUUGAAAAUCAUAUACUAGGACCUGUAUUUCCAUUGUAGAGAUUAUGUCUUAGAAGUUGUCUAUUGAAUUUCAAGAUCUAUGUAUCUGAGCUGUUAAUCAUUUAGAGAUUGCCACCUUAGGGAUGUCCGCUUCAAAUUUAAAGAAAAAGUUAUAGUUUGAUCGACGUGUUAAAGCUUGUUUAGUUUCAUUAGAUAACAGGUCUUAAGAUUGUCUGUUUGGCCCGUCACCUUUUCCUUGUCUUUAGUUUUAGGCUUUACAUUCUAUGAUCUUUGUUGCAGUUACUCAUAAUAUUUUCCUAUUGUUGCCUCACUGCUAAUGCAUGUAGUCCUGUCUCUAGUUUUGUUAUGCAUAUUUACGUGGUUUUCCUUUUAAAUUAUGUCUGUAGAUGUCUGAAAAUAGGUGUUCUUUUAGCUGUAAGUUACCCAGUGGUUAUCUGCCUAUGACAUGUGUCAGUUCUGUGAUAUGCUUGCUUAUAUGAGUCAUUCUUGAAAAACUAUAAUUCAUUAAUUCAUAUUUGGUUGUAACAAAAAAUUGAAUAAUUCAUAUAUGUGUAAUUCGCUAAUUAGAUGAUCACUUUUGUUUAACUAGCAACUAAUUUGCCUAUUGGUUAGGAUUUCUUUAAGUGUUUGUUCCUGCUUACGUGUCCUUUUAGUUUAAGUCACCUUAAGCUGAAUUAGUCAUUAAUAGGCUAACACUUAGUUGACUAUUUCAUUCAGUAAAAAAAAAAAAAAAAUAGUUGUCUUAAAUCAUCUCAGGACAUAGUUAAAUUCAAUUUACAUAAACAUGUUAAUUAAUUGACAUACUGAUAUUUGAGUUACUAGUUUCUGGAAACAUGCAUUGCACGUUUGUUCCAUAUCAUUAUUAUAAAAUUUAUACAUACUUAAAAGGUCGAGUAAUAAAAUAUGAAUAUAAGUGAUGUGAUCAAAGGGUGGAGUUGCUAAUUAGUAAUCUCUCUUUUAGAGAAUGUGUUAUGUUCGUAUUCAACUUCAAUUAGAUAUUUCAUUUUUAAGAUUGUUAUUCCUCUUUCAUUACACGAAAGUCGAAUUUAAUAUUGUUCAUAUGUGCAAUAUUAGACUUUAUAACAUUUAUGUUGCUUUUAAUUUUAAAAGAAGUACAUUACAUUCAUUAAAAUUACAACACUUCUGAAUCCUUUGGUAGAAACUACAAUGCCCAUGUAGAAAGUACUAUGACAUGAAGGCAGCAAAAUGCUUAUACAGCCUUGACAGCAAUGAUUGAACUCCAAAUUUGGUAGAAAGUACAAUGCACAUGUAGCCAUCCACUUUAGUUCCUAGAUCUUAUCAGAUUCUUUGAAGUUAAAGUUGAAUUAUCUUUUCUUUGAUAACUUCUCUUUGGAAUCUGAGCUUUCAUCACCUCAGUCUCUCGGAUUUAAAUUUUUCACCAGGGAGUUUCCUAGUACUUUCACUACUACAAACCACCCCAGAACUGAAAUUACUUCCCACAUCAGCUGCCUAUACUUAUAUUAGCAAUUGUGAAUAAAGAAUGGUUUUUUUCCAUUUGUUUCCGAAUCUCAUCGACACUUGCAAUUGAAAAUGGUCGAACUUAAUAGCUGCAAAUGAAGAAGUAGGAACUUGGGGAAUGGAUUGGAUAGAAAUGCAAUAACAUUAUAUUGUCCCGUGACAUGGUUUGCACAAAAAUCUUGUGAAGUCAUUAUACUUAUAAGCCAAGACGUACUGUUAAAAAUUCUGCAGAAAUCUCAACAGUCACAUUAGAGAAAAGGCUUUAAAUGUUUGAUGGUUUCUUUUCAUAUCCAUUACAAGUAAAAUAUACAUGGUACAAUAGAGACUUUAAUUUCCAAAAUGAAUACAACUGUAUUAAAUAAGUUUAAAUGUGCAAUUAUUGUUGGAAGCUGUCAAAAUCAAGGAAAACGUACACACACGUUGCCUUGAGACAUACCUUCAGCAGGUUGAUUCAUUGUACAUAUAGUAACUGGUGAUUUUUUGUCUUGCUAAUUGUAACUUACAAUUAAAUAUUAGUCCACCAAACUUACAAUGUAUAAUUACCCAUCUCUACAAUACAAUAAAAAGAAUAUUAUAGGAUAGAAGGGUACGAAUGUCGUUUAACUUUUAAGGGGCAUUUUGGUAUUUCAACUUUGACAGUUGGAGCUUCCCACUUUUAGAAUAGUAUGAUGAUUAGUUGGGUGCAUAAUUGAUAAAAUUAUUUCUAUGUGCUUGGGAUGGAUAUAAUGAGCCUAGUUCACGUCAGGUUGGUACAUCCUUUAUUAAUCGAACUUGGAUUUUCAGCUUUAUUUUCUACUCUUCUGAUAUGUAAUCCAAGAGCCUCAUUGAACUUGACUGUGGGAUAGACUAUGUAAAAUCUUUGCUUUAGUAAAUCACUUAAGAGAUCAUGUUUUAACGCAAGUUGUUGCAUUUCUAGAGAUCUAGUAUUUGAGUAGCUUUUUUAGUUACCUAUUGCUUGUUUAUUUGGUUUAAUAUAGAUCAAUUGCAGUUAGAAUCCUUUAAGCUAAUGUUUAUCUCGUCUUAGAACUUUUAAGAAAGUCGAUCAUACAAAGUGAAAUAGAGGGAAGUUGUGAUGUUGUGUUUACGGAACACUAAUGUCUGUUAGCAUCUUAGGUUAGGUAGUCACUUUCGGAUUCAAUAUCUUGGAUCCUUGUUUGUUUCUCCAUCUACUUCGUAAUCACAUGAAUGUCAUCUGGCUCUUUUUAGAUUUCUUCAAGGUUUGAUUGCUACUUUGGCCUUUUUUAUAUAUAAAUAGAUGAAUAAGUAUUUCUAGAAGUAUAGUUUUCUUUCGAGAUUUUCUAAAAUACGUCAAGUGUGUUUCUUUCUAACGUAAAUCUUAGGAACUUAUAAUACGUCAAAUGAGUUUCUUUCUAACGAUAAGGUCCUUUGAUUAUGUGUCAUUAUAUUUUACUAUUCAACCUAAAGGGAUUUCAGCAUUGCUAAAAGAAAGUGUACUUAUUCCCUGAUAUAAUGGUAGAAGCUAGUAUACUACUUUAUCACGUACAUGCUACUUGGUUUGUUUAUCAUUUUUGUAACUUUUAUUUAACCCAAUGUAUGAUGGUGAUACUAACUUGUAUAUUUUAACUUUAGAAAUCAUUUUAUAGGAUAAAUCUAGCGUAUCAGAAUCUAUAUGUUGUGUUGGACUAAGCUUAAAUGUAUUAUAUGUAUCCAUGUUGAAUCUGCAUCCUUUUCUUUAGUGAAAUUAGACUAAUAUUCUGAUUUUCUUGUUUUAGCCACUUAAAUGAAUUCAAGAAUUAUAUUCCUAGGUGUUGUACUCAUUUUUACACAUUAGAUGAACACAUACAAUACUAUUUCACCCAUGCUGUGUUUUCUUUUUUAAAAGAUGUUUGUUCUUGACUUGUGUAACCCUUAUUUACUAUACCUAAGUUUUUGUGCAUAGCAGGCUUUCAAGAUUUGUAUACUGCUGCCUUUUUUGUUUGGCUUUGUUGUAGCACAUCCACGCAAGCUUCAUGAGUUGUUGCUGUGGAGGAAGAUCAAGAUCACCCCAUUCUAGUCGCAUCCCGCUUUUCAUUUCCUUUAUUUUGAGCUCCUAGUACAUUUUUGUUCAACUUCUCUACUAUAGGUUUGUACAUCUGAUCAAAUUUGAAUUUUAGAUGAGUGGUUAAUUUAAAAAUGUUUUAUCUAUUUUUGUAGUUUUUCUUGAUAGAAUUUGUCUUACAUAUUUUACAGGAUAUGAAGACUUGAGUUUACUAUUCAAGAUGCGGAUUUUGAAGACAUCAUACAAGUUAACAAGUUGAUUAUCAUUUUACUAGGAUUGUUAAACUUAUUUUUUCAUUUUUUGCUAGGGAUGUUAACUUUUUACGUAAAGGGUUGUGUAAGCCAUACAAAGACUUGUCUAUCAUGGCCAUAGAUUGCUACUAAUGGAAUAUGAAUCCAUUUCUUUGUAACGAAUUACAUAUUAUAUAUGAAAAGGAUAUGUUAUCAAUAAUGCUUAUAUGCAUUU
Long non-coding RNA from Lycium ferocissimum, 5964 nucleotides. RefSeq lists it as uncharacterized. The record is from RefSeq and is a predicted model, not a curated record. The transcript has 2 exons. Lineage: Eukaryota; Viridiplantae; Streptophyta; Magnoliopsida; Solanales; Solanaceae.